ACUCAAAUUUCUUAACUCAUUUAAUUAUCUUGAGACAAAAGCCAUUGAAAAGCAAUUGAAGGUGUUUGCUUAGAUUAGAUAACCAAACUCAGAAAUCUCAGAAAAAUGGAGUGCUAACCAUGUUACAUCGGUAUUGGUUGAUAGAUCCUU
Long non-coding RNA from Bufo bufo (common toad), 150 nucleotides. RefSeq lists it as uncharacterized. The transcript has 3 exons. NCBI's taxonomy places the organism in Eukaryota, Metazoa, Chordata, Amphibia, Anura, Bufonidae. The record is from RefSeq and is a predicted model, not a curated record.